This 450-nucleotide ribosomal RNA is filed under the name uncultured bacterium. RNAcentral describes it as "partial 16S ribosomal RNA". It matches the Rfam family "Bacterial small subunit ribosomal RNA", at positions 354 to 796 of the family's 1533-position model. The record is from RNAcentral.
GUGGGGAAUUUUGGACAAUGGGCGCAAGCCUGAUCCAGCAAUGCCGCGUGCAGGAAGAAGGCCUUCGGGUUGUAAACUGCUUUUGUACGGAACGAAACGGUCCGGGUUAAUACCCUGGGCUAAUGACGGUACCGUAAGAAUAAGCACCGGCUAACUACGUGCCAGCAGCCGCGGUAAUACGUAGGGUGCAAGCGUUAAUCGGAAUUACUGGGCGUAAAGCGUGCGCAGGCGGUUUUGUAAGACAGGCGUGAAAUCCCCGGGCUCAACCUGGGAAUUGCGCUUGUGACUGCAAGGCUGGAGUGCGGCAGAGGGGGAUGGAAUUCCGCGUGUAGCAGUGAAAUGCGUAGAUAUGCGGAGGAACACCGAUGGCGAAGGCAAUCCCCUGGGCCUGCACUGACGCUCAUGCACGAAAGCGUGGGGAUCGAACAGGAUUAGAUACCCGUGUAGUCC